Molecule: ribosomal RNA, 784 nt
Filed under: uncultured bacterium
Lineage: Bacteria
Description: bacterial SSU rRNA
Rfam family: Bacterial small subunit ribosomal RNA
Source: RNAcentral
UAGCUUGAUCCUGGCUCAGGACGAACGCUGGCGGCGUGCUUAACACAUGCAAGUGGAGCGACGAACCAGGGGCUUGCCCCUGGGGCAGAGCCGCGAACGGGUGAGUAACACGUGGGCAACCUGCCCCGAUGACCGGGACAACCCGAGGAAACUCGGGCUAAUACCGGAUGUGCUCACGCCACACCAGUGGCGUGAGGAAAGGAAGCUUCGGCCUCCGCAUCGGGAUGGGCCCGCGGCCCAUUAGCUUGUUGGUGGGGUAAUGGCCUACCAAGGCGACUAUGGGUAGCUGGUCUGAGAGGACGAUCAGCCACACUGGGACUGAGACACGGCCCAGACUCCUACGGGAGGCAGCAGUGGGGAAUCUUGCGCAAUGCGCGAAAGCGUGACGCACCAACGCCGCGUGGGGGAAGACGGCCUUCGGGUUGUAAACCCCUUUCAGUUGGGACGAAGUCCGGUCGGUGAACAGCCGCGCCGGAUGACGGUACCUUCAGAAGAAGCCCCGGCCAACUACGUGCCAGCAGCCGCGGUAAUACGUAGGGGGCAAGCGUUGUCCGGAAUCAUUGGGCGUAAAGCGCGUGUAGGCGGCUCGGUAAGUCCGCUCUGAAAGCCCGGGGCUCAACCCCGGGAGGCGGGCGGAUACUGCCGAGCUCGAGUCCGGAAGAGGCGAGUGGAAUUCCUGGUGUAGCGGUGAAAUGCGCAGAUAUCAGGAGGCACACCAAUGGCGAAGGCAGCUCGCUGGGACGGUACUGACGCUGAGACGCGAAAGCGUGGGGAGCGAACAGGA